Molecule: long non-coding RNA, 296 nt
Organism: Nothoprocta perdicaria
Lineage: Eukaryota; Metazoa; Chordata; Aves; Tinamiformes; Tinamidae
Exons: 4
Source: RefSeq, a predicted model, not a curated record
ACGUGCUCUGGAGAUCGGCGCGCGGAGUUAGCUCACACCCUGCGAGUACAAAGCGUUCCUGGACAACACUUCAAAACUGCUGUUAUUGGGCAAUACUGAUAUGAAGCUAGAUUGAGCACAAACAUGUUCUUGACAGGACCAGAAGGAUAUGAUGCAGACUGCUAGAAUGUGUCAUGCCUUUGCAUCCUUCCCUGCUGUGCUGAUGUCCUGUGUUACACUGGACCGAAAGGAUUGUUUUCCUCAAUUUCAGCUGCAGGAACCGAUCUCAAGCAGGAUAAAAGCAGCAGCAGUCCAAG